Long non-coding RNA from Ictalurus punctatus (channel catfish), 1441 nucleotides. NCBI's taxonomy places the organism in Eukaryota, Metazoa, Chordata, Actinopteri, Siluriformes, Ictaluridae. The record is from Ensembl.
AGAAAGUGAAGCCUCUGCGUCCUCUGUUUGCGUACAUGUCACUUUCUAGGAAAAGCCUGAGAUAUUUAUAGCUGGCGAGAGACUCUACACAACCUCUCGUUUGUCUUUAAGCGUGUUCAGGAGCAGAUAGGAAUCUUCACGGCGUGUAAUGUUCUUCAUCGUCCUGGAUCCUGACGGCAGAGGGAACAGAUCCUCGGAUCACCUCGGAUCACCUCAGGAAGCAGCUAUUUCCGCCACUUGUGUAUAAAAUAAACACGGGGAGAAUGUUUACGGGGAACUGCUUUGUCACGCUCUCCUGCAAAAAUGUAGAAAAAAAUCGAAGUAUCAGGCCCGUUGUGAGAAAAACUGUAAUCAAGCUUUAACGCUAAUAAUGGCUGAGAUUUCCCGAGGCUUAUAAUAAAACCUCUGUAAAAGUCGAGACAAGUUCUGUUCUUCUCCCCCGAAAACAGCAGGACACCGGGACGGAUACGAAAUGUCAGGAUGUGAUCUCGGAGUUUCCCCAAUGCCUUUUCCAUCGCACCGCUCCAGAACUUGUGGGAGACCCGUGGUGAAGGUUCUGGUCUACUGCUCUGAAGGUCGUGAUGAGAAAAACUUCCGCUGUUGGACCCUUAAUCAAGACCUUUAACAUCCUCCGCUCCUCCGCUCUCGUCCAGCAGGAAUGAACUUCACGUUGGAAAAAUAGACCCAAAACAACAACAACCACCACCAGAUGGAUGGAGUCUAGAUAGUCUGGUGAUCCACUACCCAGAGGACAGGAGCAGUGAAGCAGGGAGGAAAAAACAACUAAACAAGCUGCUGAGAGAUCACCCGAGACCCCCCGAGACCCCCCGAGACACCCGAGACUCCCCGAGACCCCCCGAGACCCCCCGAGACUCCCCGAGACACCCCGAGCAGACUUUAAAAGGCACGGUGAAAGAGCAGUAACGACAGACGUUUACGCUCGAAAACCUCGAAAAUCUACAUCACUUCAUACUGGUGAAAGAGGGAGAAUACUUUUUGUGACUGUGACAAUAUUACUAUCAUCAUACUAGCUUUAUAAUAAUCAGCUAAGAAAAACAUGUUGUUUAGCUAUAAAACAGCUAUUUAUGCGAUCACUUUCGGUUAUGCUGUAGCUAGCUAACAAUGUUUAUUAAAAUACAUAAUGCAUAGUCAAACCUAGCUAAGUUAUUAUUGCUAAGUGGCUGAUUAGCAAGUUUACAUGUCUUACGUAGAAUCAGUUUUCACUGCCCAGAGCCUUAUGUUGUUGCGUUAUCAAUAUGCUAGCUGCGUUCUCUAUAUCACAGCUCUUGCGUGGGUCAGUGUAUGCUAAUCUCACAAACUAGUAGCUAAUUACUAGCUACUACUACUACUACUACUACUACUACUACUAGCCACUAAGCUAGUAGACAUCAUUUUGUAUUUGAAUGUAAGUCAUCUUUGAUUAAAAACAACACAAAAGGAA